UGAAGUGGUAUCUGCUCCUUAGGAUGA
This 27-nucleotide small RNA is filed under the name Bombyx mori (domestic silkworm). Its description in RNAcentral is "ovarian small RNA-31023". Lineage: Eukaryota; Metazoa; Arthropoda; Insecta; Lepidoptera; Bombycidae. The record is from RNAcentral.